RNAcentral lists this unclassified non-coding RNA (200 nucleotides) under Chaetomiaceae sp. RNAcentral's name for it is "partial internal transcribed spacer 2". Lineage: Eukaryota; Fungi; Ascomycota; Sordariomycetes; Sordariales; Chaetomiaceae. The record is from RNAcentral.
UUAAGUUCAGCGGGUCUUCCUACCUGAUCCGAGGUCAACCUUGGGUAAAUAAGGCUUUUAACGGCCGGAACCCGCAGCACGCCCUGAGCGGGAUGUAAACUACUACGCUCGGAGUGACAGCGAGCCCGCCACUGGUUUUCAGGGCCUGCGGCAGCCGCAGGUCCCCGACACAAGCCGGGGGCUUGAUGGUUGAAAUGACG